Molecule: long non-coding RNA, 213 nt
Filed under: Linum usitatissimum (flax)
Lineage: Eukaryota; Viridiplantae; Streptophyta; Magnoliopsida; Malpighiales; Linaceae
Description: long non-coding RNA (LUSI_LNC002954)
Source: RNAcentral
CGCAGGCAAUGCCGCCGCACUUCCAAUUUCCUCGCUCACCGCCUCUCCGACCAUCUGAGACCAUUGCUCCUCCUCCAUCAGAUAUGUAAGUAUAUGUAACCCAUAAGAAAAAUAUUCAUGUAAGUAAGAGUUUGUAGAACCCAUAAGAAUGUGUACAAUCCAAGUCCUCUACAAGAAAACCUUGAUCAAAUGACACAAAACACCCAAAAUCAG